This 466-nucleotide ribosomal RNA is filed under the name uncultured bacterium. RNAcentral's name for it is "partial 16S ribosomal RNA". It matches the Rfam family "Bacterial small subunit ribosomal RNA", at positions 30 to 507 of the family's 1533-position model. The record is from RNAcentral.
CGAACGCUGGCGGCGUGCUUAACACAUGCAAGUCGAACGGAAAGGCCCUGCUUUUGUGGGGUGCUCGAGUGGCGAACGGGUGAGUAACACGUGAGUAACCUGCCCUUGACUUUGGGAUAACUUCAGUAAACUGGGGCUAAUACCGGAUAGGAGCUCCUGCUGCAUGGUGGGGGUUGGAAAGUUUCGGCGGUUGGGGAUGGACUCGCGGCUUAUCAGCUUGUUGGUGGGGUAGUGGCUUACCAAGGCUUUGACGGGUAGCCGGCCUGAGAGGGUGACCGGCCACAUUGGGACUGAGAUACGGCCCAGACUCCUACGGGAGGCAGCAGUGGGGAAUAUUGCACAAUGGGCGGAAGCCUGAUGCAGCAACGCCGCGUGCGGGAUGACGGCCUUCGGGUUGUAAACCGCUUUCGACUGUGACGAAGCGUGAGUGACGGUAAUGGGUAAAGAAGCACCGGCUAACUACGUG